UACGGAGGGUGCAAGCGUUAUCCGGAAUCAUUGGGUUUAAAGGGUCCGCAGGCGGAUUUAUAAGUCAGUGGUGAAAGCCUACAGCUUAACUGUAGAACUGCCAUUGAUACUGUAAGUCUUGAAUUCGGUCGAAGUGGGCGGAAUAUGUCAUGUAGCGGUGAAAUGCUUAGAUAUGACAUAGAACACCGAUAGCGAAGGCAGCUCACUAGGCCUGGAUUGACGCUCAGAGACGAAAGCUAGGGGAGCAAAAGGG
Molecule: ribosomal RNA, 253 nt
Filed under: uncultured bacterium
Lineage: Bacteria
Description: partial 16S ribosomal RNA
Rfam family: Bacterial small subunit ribosomal RNA
Source: RNAcentral